UACGUAGGGGGCGAGCGUUUGUCCGGAUUUAUUGGGCGUAAAGAGCGUGUAGGCGGCCAGGUAGGUCUGCUGUGAAACUCGAGGCUCAACCUCGAGACGUCGGCGGAAACCAUCUGGCUAGAUCCGGAAGAGGAGAGUGGAAUUCCUGGUGUAGCGGUGAAUGCGCAGAUAUCAGGAAGAACACCCGUGGCGAAGGCGGCUCUCUGGGACGGUACUGACGCUGAGACGCG
This 230-nucleotide ribosomal RNA is filed under the name uncultured bacterium. RNAcentral's name for it is "partial 16S ribosomal RNA". It matches the Rfam family "Bacterial small subunit ribosomal RNA", at positions 524 to 755 of the family's 1533-position model. The record is from RNAcentral.